RNAcentral lists this ribosomal RNA (425 nucleotides) under uncultured bacterium. Its description in RNAcentral is "partial 16S ribosomal RNA". It matches the Rfam family "Bacterial small subunit ribosomal RNA", at positions 354 to 796 of the family's 1533-position model. The record is from RNAcentral.
GUGGGGAAUAUUGCACAAUGGGGGAAACCCUGAUGCAGCGACGCCGCGUGAGUGAAGAAGUAUUUCGGUACGUAAAGCUCUAUCAGCAAGGAAGAAAAUGACGGUACUUGACUAAGAAGCCCCGGCUAACUACGUGUCAGCAGCCGCGGUAAUACGUAGGGGGCAAGCGUUAUCCGGAUUUACUGGGUGUAAAGGGAGCGUAGACGGUAUGGUAAGUCAGAUGUGAAAGCCCGGGGCUCAACCCCGGGACUGCAUUUGAAACUAUCAGACUAGAGUGCAGGAGAGGUAAGUGGAAUUCCUAGUGUAGCGGUGAAAUGCGUAGAUAUUAGGAGGAACACCAGUGGCGAAGGCGGCUUACUGGACUGUAACUGACGUUGAGGCUCGAAAGCGUGGGGAGCAAACAGGAUUAGAAACCCCAGUAGUCC